RNAcentral lists this ribosomal RNA (1249 nucleotides) under uncultured bacterium. RNAcentral's name for it is "partial 16S ribosomal RNA". It matches the Rfam family "Bacterial small subunit ribosomal RNA", at positions 239 to 1533 of the family's 1533-position model. The record is from RNAcentral.
CAUCACGUGUUUGGGCGGACAACGGCCACAAGCGUAGAUCAGUACGAUUUCGAGAUAGAAGUUCCCCAUUGACGCUCUGAGAAUACCUUCCAAUCUACGGAGGCAGCAGUGAGGAAAUUGUUCAAUUGGCGAGAGCUGAUUAGCAGUAGCGGGCGGAAUGAGCCUAUGGGUGUAAACCGCUUUACAGGGGAUAAAGUGAGUCACGUGUGAUCAUGCAGGUACUGCGAAUAAGACCGCUAAUUCCGUGCCAGCAGCCGCGGUAAUACGAAGUCCGGGCGUAUCCGGAUUUAUUGGGUUUAAAGGGAGCACAGGCCGGGCUGUCAAGCGUGUUGUGAAAUGUAGGGGCUCAACCUCUGAACUGCAGCGCGAACUGACGGUCUUGAGUGCGCACAACGUUGGCGGAAUUCGUCGUGUAGCGGUGAAAUGCUUAGAUAUGACGAAGAACUCCGAUUGCGAAGGCAGCUGACGGGAGCGUUACUGACGCUUAAGCUCGAAAGUGCGGGUAUCGAACAGGAUUAGAUACCCUGGUAGUCCGCACGGUAAACGAUGGAUGCCCGCUGUUUGCGCCUGGCGUAAGCGGCUAAGUGAAAACGUUAAGCAUCCCACCUGGGGAGUACGCCGGCAACGGUGAAAUUCAAAGGAAUUGACGGGGGCCCGCACAAGCGGAGGAACAUGUGGUUUAAUUCGAUGAUACGCGAGGAACCUUACCCGGGCUUGAAUUGUGAGUGAAGGAUCCAGAGAUGGUGACUCCCUUCGGGGCACUCAUGAAGGUGCUGCAUGGUUGUCGUCAGCUCGUGCCGUGAGGUGUCGGCUUAAGUGCCAUAACGAGCGCAACCCCUGUCCUUAGUUGCCAGCAGGCAAAGCUGGGCACUCUGGGGAUACUGCCACCGCAAGGUGUGAGGAAGGUGGGGAUGACGUCAAAUCAGCACGGCCCUUACGUCCGGGGCUACACACGUGUUACAAUGGGGGGCACAGAAAGCCGGGAGCCCGCAAGGUCUCCCCAAUCCAUAAAUCCCCCCACAGUUCGGACUGGGGUCUGCAACCCGACCCCACGAAGCUGGAUUCGCUAGUAAUCGCGCAUCAGCCAUGGCGCGGUGAAUACGUUCCCGGGCCUUGUACACACCGCCCGUCAAGCCAUGAAAGCCGGGGGUGCCUGAAGUCCGUGACCGCGAGGGACGGCCUAGGGCAAAACUGGUAAUUGGGGCUAAGUCGUAACAAGGUAACCGUAAAUCACUGCCGUCGACCCCAC